GCUGUUGGACCUGGAUUUCUUGAGCGAUCUCUCUUCUUCUUCUUCAUUAAUCAGUUCUCUCUCUCGGCACACCUCCAGAAGAAUCGAGAUCGAUCUCUAGACCUUUUCCUUUUCCCCUCUCUUAUCCUUCUGCUUUUGCAUGCUUUUGCUCUCUCGCUUUCUCUCUCAAUCUGAUAUUGCUGUGUUGGUUUUGGAACGAACGGGUCUUCAAUUUCUGGCUAUCGACUUCAGUGAUUGGUUUCGAGAGGAACAACCUGGUGAUUCUUUGCUUUUGAUGUGCGAAUUUGGAUGUGCAUGUGCAAAUUUGGAUUUGAAUCCUCCCUUUCUUCUCACUAUCUGAUUUGAUUUCACUCAAAUUGAUCUGACGUUUUUGAGGGAUUAGGCUCUUUCUGUCUGUCUCAGUUACCUUCAUCAUCCGAAAAAUCCGUUUGGAGAGCUUCGAGUUGGGGGAUUCCACCGCUUCGUUCUCACUUCAAGCUUCCGAGAGAAAGAAAUCAUCGUCCGCCUCUGCCUCCGCUUCCGUCUCCGUCUCCGCCUCCGUUUCUGCCUCCGUCUCCGGUUCUGUCAUCACUUUCUUUCAUGAUUCAUUCAUUGAAUUUUUUAUUAGGUUGGAGGUCGGUGAGGUUAGGGAAUCCCGAGACGCCGCGAAGCUGGGGUUUAGGGUUUCAGAGAUAUAGCCGGAUCUGUGGCCGAUCAGUGAGUUAGGGUUUUAGCAAAGAGUUUUCAAAUUCGUGUAGUGCGAUUGCAUGCUUUGAGAGUUGGAGGAAGCAAUGGCGAGUUCGUAUCCUGUACCUGCUAAUGUUGUUCAGAUUUGGUCAAAGCUUCUUGAGGAUGAUCAAUUCGUAAGAUUUCUUUUGGUUAAAGUCCAAAGUCUAGGAAGGAGAGAGAGAGCUCUGUUCCCACUUUCGUUUCUAUGUUUGAUAUGAUUUUGGAGGCAGACUGGUGACUACAAGGUUGAACAUAACAUAUGAGGAUUGGUACAACUGAGUUUGAGGAUGACUUACAGUGAGGAUGAGGAAGUUAAUGAAAGCAGAAUAGUGACUGAUACAAGAGCAGGAGAUGAAGAGAAGUUCAGCAACUUUGAAGCAGAGUUAACAGAAGCCUAGAGGGACCAGAAGGUGUCCAAAGUGCUCGGAUGUCUUCAAGGAACUUAGUGAUGAACUACUAUUAAAACCAUGAGAAAUCAAUGCAACACUAGGAAGUAGAAUUUUCAAAUCAGUGUCAUUUAUAUAUCCUAUUUUGUUGAUGUAGUUUCUAUACAGAUUAUCAUCCUUGCCAUAUG
Molecule: RNA transcript, 1282 nt
Organism: Fragaria vesca subsp. vesca
Lineage: Eukaryota; Viridiplantae; Streptophyta; Magnoliopsida; Rosales; Rosaceae
Exons: 5
Source: RefSeq, a predicted model, not a curated record